CAUAGGUGCAGAAGUGCCAAAAGAUACAGAUUCUACUAUCAUAAGCAAAGAGCUCCUAACUGGGCCCAGGGUAGUUCUUUUGCCUCCUUCAUCACCUCAUUUGCGCUCAGUUUCUGCAGAUUCAAUUGAAGGCCGAUCAACCCUUCAUCAAUAUUUCAAGCUUUUUCAUGAAAACUAUGUGGAAUAUGCCCACAAGGUGUACUUUGAGAUUCGACAUCAUGCACCUCAUGUAAAAAAGAUCAUUGAUGAUCAGUGUUCUCGAUUGUGCAAAGCACAGCAAAAGAUUUUGGAAGUUGAAAGGAAACAGGAAAAGAUCGAGGAUCGUGUUGAGCAUGCAGUUCGGUUUCACAGUGAGCUAGAAGAGCGCUUGCAAAGCCUGAGACACCUGCCGGCAGCACAUAAGACAUCUCUAUCUAAAGCUGAACGAGAGUUUAAGUCUGAACUUGACAGAUUUAGGGGAGUGGAGUUGGAUGCUCUACGCUCUUCUAUUGAAGCAGUAAAUGCCAGGUUGAAAAGAUACACACAUUCUCUACAGCCCAGCCAGUCAAAUGAAGAGCGACAAGUAUCAGUGAGGAGAAAAGUGCGUGUCCAAGAAAAUGAAAUGUCACUGCUGAAAGCAUCACUUGAAAAGCUGUCAGUCAUGAACAGUGAAAAUGCAAAGAAGGUUAAAGUAGUUGAAUCGGCGCUGAAAGGCCGUGAAAUAGGCACUUGAUGAUAUGUAGGAUUGUAUGAUGAUUUUUGUUUGUGAUGCACAAGUCAAAAGUUGUUGGUUAGUGUGUUGAUACCCAGCUUGAUUGCCUGUGUGACUAGUAAGUGUGUUAGGUACAAGAUGGGAUACUUUGAGGUGAUAUGAGCAUUGGAAGUAGCUUUAGG
Molecule: unclassified non-coding RNA, 873 nt
Filed under: Hevea brasiliensis (rubber tree)
Lineage: Eukaryota; Viridiplantae; Streptophyta; Magnoliopsida; Malpighiales; Euphorbiaceae
Source: RNAcentral